AAUAACCAAAGAUUACUUGUGGAUUUAAGGUGGGGUUACUUAUUACCCGCACAUCUCCGCCGCCAGGUGCCCAAGUAUCGUAAACACCACCAAAAAACAUUGCUUUAAAUACUAAAAGGAACGCACCGGUACCUAAUAGAAUUAAAUGGAUACCAAUAAUAGUGGUCAUCUUGUUUUUAUCUUUCCA
Molecule: antisense RNA, 187 nt
Filed under: Glaucocystis nostochinearum
Lineage: Eukaryota; Glaucocystophyceae; Glaucocystales; Glaucocystaceae
Description: Antisense RNA which regulates isiA expression
Rfam family: Antisense RNA which regulates isiA expression
Source: Rfam by way of RNAcentral